Molecule: unclassified non-coding RNA, 334 nt
Filed under: uncultured fungus
Lineage: Eukaryota; Fungi
Description: sequence contains ITS1
Rfam family: 5.8S ribosomal RNA (bases 1-104)
Source: RNAcentral
UAACUGCGCGUCGGAAUGUGAACUGCAGGACAUAUGAGCAUCGACACUUUGAACGCAUAUUGCGGGCGCUGGCUCGUCCACCGCCCAUGUCUGGCUCAGGGUCGGUUUUGCAUCCUUCCCAGGUGAAUUCCUGGGCAUUGGGCUCUCGCCUCGCCGUUCUCGGCUUGGCGUGGCUUCAAGUUGCGAGCGCGUCUGCCUCUGACGAACCGCUCUGACUCUUGGGCUUGUCCCGGGUCUGGCGUGUCGGCGGCGACGUGUGCUGCUGCCAAGUUUUGGCAACGGCGACCACUCAAUUUUCGACCUGAGAGCAGGCAAGGUGACCCGCCAAAUUUAA